RNAcentral lists this ribosomal RNA (370 nucleotides) under uncultured bacterium. RNAcentral's name for it is "partial 16S ribosomal RNA". It matches the Rfam family "Bacterial small subunit ribosomal RNA", at positions 355 to 721 of the family's 1533-position model. The record is from RNAcentral.
UGGGGAAUAUUGCACAAUGGGCGCAAGCCUGAUGCAGCCAUGCCGCGUGUGUGAAGAAGGCCUUCGGGUUGUAAAGCACUUUCAGCGAGGAGGAAGGUGUGAACUUAAUACGUUCAUCAAUUGACGUUACUCGCAGAAGAAGCACCGGCUAACUCCGUGCCAGCAGCCGCGGUAAUACGGAGGGUGCAAGCGUUAAUCGGAAUACUGGGCGUAAAGCGCAGCAGGCGGUUUGCUAAGUCAGAUGUGAAAUCCCCGGGCUCAACCUGGGAACUGCAUUUGAAACUGGCAAGCUAGAUCUCGUAGAGGGGGGUAGAAUUCCAGGUGUAGCGGUGAAAUGCGUAGAGAUCUGGAGGAAUACCGGUGGCGAAGG